AAUAUCAUCGUCACUAAGGAAGGAAUCGCACGCCCAUUUCCACGCCGGACCGGCGGGUCCUCACUCUCUCAAUCAUUUUCACGAACGCAGAAAAAGCAGACCCCAUUUCACCCCAUGGCUCUAUCGACGCGGCAGCGCCGUCCUCUACUGUCCGAUGUCACCUCAUCGUCGUCGGAACCGUACACGAAGGUUAAUAAACCUCGCAGAUCGAAUGUCGGGGAUGAGGAGGAUAAGGGAUUAGGAUGGUUCCUGCCUUUGCUUUCUUUGGGAAUUUUAAGAUACAUGAGUGCCACUUCAAAUAUCAUACAUGACUGCGAUGAAGUCUUCAACUAUUGGGAGCCUCUCCAUUAUCUUCUUUACAAGUCUGGAUUCCAAACCUGGGAAUACAGCUCUCAGUUUGCACUUCGGUCUUAUUUGUAUAUUAAUUUCCAUGAACUAGUGGGUCUACCUGCUUCCUGGUUGUAUGGAGAGGAAAAAGUGAGAGUAUUCUAUGCAGUAAGACU
RNAcentral lists this unclassified non-coding RNA (503 nucleotides) under Hevea brasiliensis (rubber tree). Lineage: Eukaryota; Viridiplantae; Streptophyta; Magnoliopsida; Malpighiales; Euphorbiaceae. The record is from RNAcentral.